RNAcentral lists this ribosomal RNA (417 nucleotides) under uncultured bacterium. Its description in RNAcentral is "bacterial SSU rRNA". It matches the Rfam family "Archaeal small subunit ribosomal RNA", at positions 339 to 755 of the family's 1478-position model. The record is from RNAcentral.
GCGAGAAAACUUUGCAAUGUGCGAAAGCACGACAAGGUUAAUCCGAGUGGUUUCUGCUAAAGAAACCUUUUGUCAGUCCUAGAAACACUAACGAAUAAGGGGUGGGCAAGUUCUGGUGUCAGCCGCCGCGGUAAAACCAGCACCUCAAGUGGUCAGGAUGAUUAUUGGGCCUAAAGCAUCCGUAGCUCGUUUUGUAAGUUUUCGGUUAAAUCCAUGCGCUUAACGUAUGGGCUGCCGGGAAUACUGCAUAGCUAGGAAGUGGGAGAGGUAGACGGUACUCGGUAGGAAGGGGUAAAAUCCUUUGAUCUAUUGAUGACCACCUGUGGCGAAGGCGGUCUACCAGAACACGUUCGACGGUGAGGGAUGAAAGCUGGGGGAGCAAACCGGAUUAGAUACCCACGUAGUCCCUGAGCGGGC